AACACAUUCCUUAGAUCCGCUGUUGGGGCCUUAAUUGGCUCAACCUCUUUACUGGAGGUAUAUCGGCAGUGAAUGAGUCAUUGAUGUGUGAGAGUAUUAUACCUCCAUUGCUAGAAAAUUGCCUAUGCUUGUUAACUUGUAUACUCAAGUGAGUUAUGGGCUAGGAUAUAUUCUGGUGGUGGGGACAAC
This is a small nucleolar RNA of Daphnia magna, 189 nucleotides long. It matches the Rfam family "Small nucleolar RNA SNORA53". From Rfam's summary of the family: The snoRNA ACA53 belongs to the H/ACA family of pseudouridylation guide snoRNAs. Lineage: Eukaryota; Metazoa; Arthropoda; Branchiopoda; Diplostraca; Daphniidae. The record is from Rfam.